UGUUUUACUACAACAGACACUGCUGCAAAUCUGCUCGAUAGACAUUCAGACGAUCACCAUGAUCCGAGCAGCCAGUAUUAUAUGGGUUCUAAUGAUAUGUCCUGGAGGUUUUUCUCAGAGUAAUCGUGUUAAACAGAAUCCUCCUGAUCUCUUUGGCAACCAUCAAAACUCUGUUAAAAUCCAGUGUGAACACAGUGAACCAAGUUAUAAUCAGAUCAACUGGUACAGACAAGACCAGGGACUGACCUUUAUUGGAUAUCAGCGGGUUAAAUCAUCAACACAAAUCGAAAAUGAUUUUAAGACUAAAGUGGAGAUUGUUGGGGAUGGAAGCAAAAACGUCUCUUUGACCAUCAAAAAUCUUUUAUCCAAUGACAGUACAGUGUACUUCUGUGCUGCUUAUUACACAGUGCUGCAUAUCUGCUUUAUUCAAUACAAAAACUUCUGUGUAAUUAUUUUCAGUAUAACAAUAACACCUGCUCUUGUGGCCUGGAAUUGACACAUUGCCAGUGUUUUUAACAGAAAAGCCACACAUACAUUAUUACAGGCAAUAGUAUAAUUGAUUGUUCAACAAUCACAAUGAAACUGCAUUACAGACAUGAUAUUAAAAUUAAAGACAACUUUUGAUUCAAAUAAAAUCAUAGGAUUUAAUAAUUACAAAGCAAAACAAUUCAAUAUUCAC
Molecule: non-coding RNA, 679 nt
Organism: Tachysurus fulvidraco (yellow catfish)
Lineage: Eukaryota; Metazoa; Chordata; Actinopteri; Siluriformes; Bagridae
Source: the annotation of a RefSeq genome assembly